Molecule: long non-coding RNA, 1461 nt
Filed under: Homo sapiens (human)
Lineage: Eukaryota; Metazoa; Chordata; Mammalia; Primates; Hominidae
Description: PREDICTED lncRNA (TCONS_00236378)
Source: RNAcentral
GAGUGACAGAGAAGACUGGCAGCUGCAGAGCAGGACAGACCAGAUUGGCCAGUACAACAGCAGAGGGCCAUGUUGGGCUUUGACUCAGGAAUCCUGGUGGAGGCAAUGAUGAGAGAGAAGAGAUAAAACACACUAGGUAAGCCAAGGUAGUUGUCAGGAUAGAAGGAGACAGGCAGGCCAGAUGGCUGUUAACCGUGUGGUGUGUCCCAACUUUCCAGCAUCAAUUUAAUGGCCAAAUUAAAAUCAGCAGAGCCAAGUGUUAGAGUUAUUGCUGCCUGAGUUAUAACAGCUGCCCUGGGAAUCUUGUCUGAACAACAAGUUAACUGCUGUUCCCAGUUAUAUCUGGUCUUUCCCACCCCCAAACAUACACAAAAGAUUUUUGUCAUUCUUGGCACUGGACAACAGAAGUGAUAAGACAUGCCAGCAGAACUCUAAAGGCAGAAUGUCCUUCCACCUGUUUUAUGCUGUAAGACAAACUUCCAAGUGCGAGGCAGUGUGGAGGGCUGUUGCCUUGAAUGGCAGCUGAAUGCACCAGCGGGAUCCUUGGCAGCAAUGCCCAGGCACUGAAGUCGGGCAUUCAGGAGAGCUAAAUGGAGAAAAGAAACUUGAGCAAACUGCUUCCUGGAACACUGAGAACCUGAAUGGGAAAUUAAGAAGAACCAGAUUCUUUCUAUUCUUCCACCAGCCAAGGUGAUGAGCACAAAAGGAUCCAUCUUAUACAGUGCUUGCCAGCUUCCAUAAUACUACUCACCACGAUGUUGAAAUCACCUGUUCCAGAACCAGUCCUGUCCUUUGACAAGAAGGAUUUAAUUAUCAGUAGUGGUGGGGACUGGCUGGAGAGAGGAAAAACACUUCAAGGACUCUGCCACCUUUCGUAGAUGGAGAGUGCAAAGUUUGUACCAUGGAACUCCUUCUCUAACAGUUACUCUGUGGCAGUGCCUAUUUCAAACCUCCCUUAACUUCUGAUUGUAUAGAUGUUUGUUUCAUUUGUUCAUCUGUUUGUUCACUUAGUCAGAGAUGUUUUAAGCCUUAAGAGAAAUAGUGGACUAGAAAAUGCCUUGGAAAAGUACAAAGUUCAAUCCAAGUAAACUGUUUUUAAACUAGGAAUUUAUGAAGCCUAAAAUAUAAAAUGUAUAUACAUGGAUAUGCUCUGAAGUGAGGUAGAGGGGUAGAAAUCAACAUUGUGAUAUUGUACUAUAGUUUUGCAAGAUGUUACCAUUGGGGGAAAAUGUUUGAAGGGUAUACGGGAUAUCUCUGCCUUAUUUCUUACAACUGCAUGUGAAUCUACAGUUAUCUCAAAAUAAAAAUUUAAUUAACAAUUGAUUACAAUUAACAGCAUUAAUUUCUUAUCCUGUCAUUUUCCUUCUCCUGAAAUUGCAGAAUAGCCAAACAGAAACCUACCCAUGACCACCAUCUGAGAUUCUUUGGUGCCCGUAUUAGUGGACAUAGGCAGGUGUAUCA